Molecule: non-coding RNA, 67 nt
Organism: Merluccius polli (Benguela hake)
Lineage: Eukaryota; Metazoa; Chordata; Actinopteri; Gadiformes; Merlucciidae
Source: the annotation of a GenBank genome assembly
UAGCUCAACUGGCAGAGCAAGGCAUUAACGCUGCCAGGGUUAUGGGUUUGAUGCCCAAUUGGGACCA